RNAcentral lists this ribosomal RNA (554 nucleotides) under uncultured bacterium. RNAcentral describes it as "bacterial SSU rRNA". It matches the Rfam family "Archaeal small subunit ribosomal RNA", at positions 725 to 1275 of the family's 1478-position model. The record is from RNAcentral.
AGUGAAUAGAUACCCGGGUAGUCCUAGCCGUAAACGAUACUCGCUAGGUGUCGGCCACGGUGCGACCGUUGCCGGUGCCGUAGGGAAAGCCGUGAAGCGAGCCACCUGGGAAGUACGGCCGCAAGGCUGAAACUUAAAGGAAUUGGCGGGGGAGCACCACAACGGGUGGAGCUUGCGGUUUAAUUGGAUUCAACGCCGGAAAUCUUACCGGGACCGACAGCAAUAUGAAGGCCAGGCUGAAGACUUUGCCGGAUUAGCUGAGAGGUGGUGCAUGGCCGUCGUCAGUUCGUACUGUGAAAGCAUCCUGUUAAGUCAGGCAACGAGCGAGACCCACGCCCACAGUUGCCAGCGUACUCUCCGGAGUGACGGGUACACUGUGGGGACCGCCGCUGCUAAAGCGGAGGAAGGAAUGGGCAACGGUAGGUCAGUAUGCCCCGAAUAUCCCGGGCUACACGCGAGCUACAAUGGUUGGUACAAUGGGUAUCUACCCCGAAAGGGGAUGGAAAUCUCCUAAAGCCAAUCUUAGUUCGGAUUGAGGGCUGCAACUCGCCCUC